This 43270-nucleotide long non-coding RNA is filed under the name Prunus persica (peach). RNAcentral's name for it is "long non-coding RNA (PPER_LNC004171)". The record is from RNAcentral. Lineage: Eukaryota; Viridiplantae; Streptophyta; Magnoliopsida; Rosales; Rosaceae.
UUUUUUUUUUUUUUUUUUUGGUCUUUCUAAUUUGUAAUAUUAGCACAAAUAUGUGUGAAAACUGAAAGCUAAUUCCUCAUAUUUCCAUGCAUACAUACACAAGAAAAUUGGUAAAUGUAGGCGAGUUUACAACAUGUUAAAUGUGCGUCUUUACAUGCAUCAACAGUUGACAGUCGCUCACGCGCGUAUGAAAUUAUAAUAAUGAUUAGUAUUUCUCUUUCAUAUGUCAUGUGUUGUCCUUUUCUUUUUGCUUCCUAACAAGAUAACUCCCUGCGGGAUCAAACCUAACCCACAAUCCAUGCUGAUUUGUAAGAAGGCAUCAUUGUCCUUGGGCUCAAAAUCGAUUUUGGUGCAUCAUAUUUCUUCUUCAAACUCAGAAGAUCUAUAUUGUGCAGGAGAGUGGAUCAAAUUUUGUGACGCAAUGGUUACCUCAAAACCUGCAGCUUUUAUGCGUGAUCAGAGAUCACUUUUUGGGGGGAGGAGGAGAGGGGGAGAGAGGAUCUCAGAUUUUUGAUGGCAGCAAAAUUUUCACAAACUAGAGCCAAGCAGCCUAUAUGCCAAGUACAAUUUAGGGCAGGGCCUCGAGAGGGCCUCCCUCUGGUACAGUUUGAAAAGCUGCAUGCUUGCAUCAAGACACUGACACUUUGAAGUUUCUAUUUAGACCUCAAAAAGGCUCAAAUGGUUGUUGGCAUUUAAGUGAGAGGAGAUGAGGCUGAUCAUUUGAAUUCCACUAGCUAGAAACCAACAAAGAGAAAAGGAAUAUAACGGAUUGCUGGGUUUGUUUUAAUACUUUGUCUAGUUCCAUUUCGACUGGAUUCCAAGUUAUUAAGAAGCUUAAACUAAUUUUUGUGUAACCCAACACAAAUUUAGAUUAGUCGUUACGAUUGGUGACUAUAGAGGUCUUAUAUAGAUGUUACUUUAAUCGAAAAUAGUUUAGUAAUUUGAUUAUCAACAUUUUCGUUUCAAUUAUGUUUAACAAGCUGAGUUUUUCGUAUACACAUUUUAUAUGACCAAACAACUUUCGAUUUGUUUGCAGUAGUAUCAAUGUAUCAAGGGAAGCACAAAUAAACAGCGACCAUUUUUGUUUUGUUUUGGUCACAACACCUAGACUACGUUUGCAUAAGCCAUUUGAUAUGUAUAAUCUGACCCAAAGCUGCUUAUGCUUUUAGUUUGACACAUUCAAAUAUACAAAGCGGAAAAUGUCAGAGAGAAAUUGUGGGCUAGAGGCCUGUAGGUGACAAGAUAUCUGGAGCCCAUUUUCAAUGUGGGCCGGUAGAUGAAUUUUGCAUCAAAAUGUAUGUUGAUUAAUAAGUUUUUUAUUUGGGAGAUUUCCAUAUCCUAAAAGGUCCGGUCUAGGAUGAUCCAGUUGCAUAUAUUUAGGUUAGGGUCAGAUACGAGAAAAUAUAGUUGUGGAGGCAACAACACAAAAUGAUUUGGUUAAUCAAUUAUCAUAAAUUUAACCUCAUCCUCACACAACUUUGGUUAAUUCACUGCAAAAUCGUCAUACAAAGCAUAUAAAAUUUUGUUUUUAUUUUUUAUUUUUUUUAUACGAGUAAUAUUGGGAGAGGAGAUUUUCUCACACACUGUCAAGGUGCCAUGGGAGUUUGAAUCUAAGACCACUAGUUUGCAAGUCAAGAUUCUUUCCACGAGGCUGCAAGUCAAGACCCUUUCCAUUCCAAUGUGCUAGACCCCGUUGCUAGCUCUAUAAGUUGUUAUAUAGGUUUCUCUAAUUAAUUGAAAGCAUACAAAGACGUAAUAUCUCCUCACCUCGCAUUCUCAAAUCUUCAACAACAAUGACGUGCUGAAUAAAUCAGAGGUCACCUUAAACUAUUGAAAAACUUCAACUGACAACAAAUCUAGCUAAGGCUAUGGGUGACAAAAUUUGCCUUCUCACACAAGGAGGAAGGAAAUGAAUCUUCGUCCCUCCUACCAUGUCUUAGUUUAGAAUUAUGGGAUAUUUAAGCUAAUCAUACAUUGACACGUAUUAAGCAAAUCAUAAUAUUCUUCUAACAUAUCAAGCAUUUCCCUGUAAACAGUUCUGCAUGUAUAACAUCACAAGAAAUGAUUUUCUAUUAUUAAUACCGUAUUUGACAAUCAGAAAAAAAAGACAAAAGAAAAGAAAAAGAAUUUCACAAUAGAGUGAAAAGAAUGUGAAGUACAAUACCACUAUAAUACAGACUCAACUGAACCCUUAGCACAUAUUUAUGCAACUCAAAACAUGCAACUGGGGGAGGCCAGACUAUUGUCAAAUCUCAAAUCUAUUACAAACUAAUGAUCAUCAAUCAAUCACAUUGAUUAUGUAUGGCAUCAUUUGAAGGUUCCCAGACCAACAGCAGCCUCUCCACCAUAUGGCUGGAAGCUUCCCCUGGCUCUGGAGUAGAAAACAUAGUAGAACUCAGAAACUAUUGUGGUGAGGAAGAUGAAAGCUGCCCCUGCACCAAAAACUCCUUUUCUCAAUGUCUGGCAAUCUGGAGGGUUUUCACUGAAAAUGGUCCUGUAAUGGGUGUGGUAGGCAUUCCUCACGGAACCCGCCAGCAAGCACACCUCAGCAAUGAAGAAAAAUAUCCUGUUAAGAAACACAUCAAAAAAAUGUAUAAGUAAAGAUCCAUUGCAAGAUGUGAACCUUAAAUGCUGGUGUGGAAGUUAAAAUCAAAAUUCAGUCUGCAAUUAUAUGAACAUCCAUGUUGAGCUAAUUGAAUCGAUCCAUUUGGCAUGGCAGUUUUCUAUGGUAUGUUAUAAGUCAUACCAGCAGGUUAUGAAAAGGAUGACUGCCCAGGCUCUUGACCCUCCAGGACUCAAUGGCUUCCCGCAACAGAAGCAUCGGCUUGCUGCCAUUAUAAUGACCUGACCUACCAAGAGGAACAAAAAUGCACCAACCCCGUAGCCAGUUGCAAUGUCCGAGUCAUAGACACAAUAGUUGUAGUUCACCUCAUUAUCCUGAACGAUCCUUGCCUGUCAUUAAGGGCACGAUUGGAUUGUUACUAUUGUAUAGCAAGCAGCAAGCUGUUAUAUAUCACUACAUUGUCAAGGUCCCAACCCAAGGCAAAACUCCUGUAUUUCAAUAAAGCUAAGUACAACUAAAUUGGCUCACGUCAAGAUUUCAUAAUUCAAACUUUGGUGGGUAGGGGAAAACUGUAUAAUUUUGAGAUAUGAAAACAAAUCAACUAUAAAUUUAGUUUUUAUCAGAACACCAAAUAGAAGGUACGGCACACCAGAAAUAUAAGAAGAGAAAAAAAUAUCAUUGCAGCCAGAUUUAUAAGUGGGAAGUUUUGGGUAAUACUAAAAUUUUAACCACAACUUUUAUGCUUAACUAACCACUCUGAAUGAAAGAGGUUAACUUCUCUUAUUUGGCUGGAAAAUCUCACAAAACAAGUUGUCAUUCAAGUUCAGAACACCCAUCUUAUUCUUGGAAUCAAAUUUAUUUGUAUGAUUCAAUUUCAUAUGCCUCUAUAUGUUUCACAACAUUCAUUACAAUUUGUUCCAGAAGUAUUCAUGGCAAAUUCUCCAAGAAACUCAUAUGCAUGAACAGGUUAAUUUGACAAAUUUUCUUGAAAACACAUAACAAGCCAUAGAGAGUUGAUUCAAUUUAUCCGGGUCAGCAAGAACACAAUUUUCUUGCCUCUCACUAUUUUGAAAAACCCCUAUGGCGAGUUGAUCCAAAUACCUAAGUUGAAGUAUUAGGUCCAUCCAAGAAAUGGAUUGCUUCUUAUCUUCUUCAAUCCCAAACAAUUAAAAUACAACAUAUCGAGUUUCCUGUCUUUCCUUGCAUUUUCUUAGCAAACAAACAGUAAAUAUCAACAAACAAACACAGAAAAAAAAAACUUCAAUUAUAUACUAAUAUGUUCAGCAAAAGAAUCAAUGUUUAAAAAGACAAGCAAUAACAAUGAAGGGGCUUAAUAUGAAGUGAAAGAAAGAGAGAGAGAACUUACAGAGCUUCUCCUCUGCUCAGCUGCAACAGCCAGCCCAAAAGCAAUGACAUUAACGAUGAAGACUGCAAUCAACAACAGCUUUGAAGCCAUGGUUAUUAGUUAAGCACCUAGCUUCAGAAAUUACUUCUCAGAUCUCUCUCAAUCUCCUUCUCUCUCUCUCUCUCUCUCUCUCUCUGUCUCUCUGUCUCUCUCUCUUGGCCUGCUCUACUCUGUCUCUCUGUUUCUCCCUCUAAAUACACAGAACAAAACAACUGUGAAAAAAUGAUUGAAUAAAGUGAAGAAGCUACAAAUUAAAGAAAAUAAUAAAAUAGUGAAUAGAUUUAUUACCAACAGAAAGCUACUUCCCACCACUCGCCUGAAAUGUGGGUAUUUCACCUGUAAUAACGAAAUUCCCAAAAUAGCCAGUGUUGGUCAAGCACAGUGAAAUUGGAAGUGCAUUAAAAAAAAGAAAAGAAAAGUAAAACAAAUUUUGCUCAAUGAUGUGAGUUUGUAAAGGAGUUCAACUUAUCUUUCAUUUCAUGUCCUCUCUUUUGAUGACAUUUUUUAAUUGGCGUGGUAGAAAUUAGAAAUAUGUGGAAACACAUUAUGUCAGUUCAUCAUAUUGAACAUUUAAAUUGAAAAUAAUAAGAAAGAUGAGUUGUAACUCAAGCGACAAUAGAGUUAAGAUAAGAAAAUGACGGAUUCUAAGUUCAACUUUGAUUGAUCGUACGAGGUUGAAUUUUUUCGUUAUGAUACAUCUUUGUAUUUUAUUUUGAUCAUUUUUUUUCUUCAUUAUGUUAAGGUGUGGUGUGAAAAUUUAUUAGAGAAUGUCGGCAAACAAAGAACAGAAAUUACAAGAGAAUGUCAAUAGUUCUAAUCUUUGUUAAUUAAUAAAAAAAUGAAUAGGUAAAAACAAUGAUUCUGUCACCAAUUAAUGUCGGAAAAUGAAUCUAUAAACAUAACAUGCAUGUGCAGCAAGGCUAUCAUGUCAUAGUUAGACAUCCAAAAUAAUAAAAUUUUAUUUUUCAACGUGAUUUUCCUUGAUUAUUUUGAAAGACUUGAAGGGAAGCUUAGUUCAGGGGCAAUUUUGGCAUUUAGGGAUUUAAACCCCACCAGAAAGCUCUCGCAUAUGAUUAAUGAUGCAAGCAAUUGUCGGUGAGGGAGGAGUUGUGUGAGCAGAGCAGUUGUUGGAUAGAGAGAGAGAGAGAGAGAGAGAGAGAGUCAAUGGAUGCUUCUUAAGCGUAAAAGUGCAGCAGCCUGCCUUUUUCAUCAAGAAGAUAGAUCAGAUCCAACGGCUGAUCUGGCGGGGUUUAUGGACGCGUGAAACAGACGAAAGAAUACCAGAACCUUUGCUUUCAGUGUGGGUUGUCUUUCACCGUCUCCUCUGGCUUCUAUACCAUGCACUGCAGCCUCUUCACCAUCAACUACGCCCUCACCUUUUUGGCUGUCAACCGUUGAUUUGCCGCAAUCCACUUCGUCUACGGCCGUCAAAGUGAAUAACUCACGUCAUGCCACGGACUUGGUAUGGUCUGGAUUCAAUCGGUUUGACUUCAAAUUCACCAUCAAAUUUAAGAGUGCUGUUAAACGAAUCUUAAAAUUAACUGAGUACACCAUAUGAUCUAAGUACACCAUAAUAUUUUAAUUAAAAUAUAAAAUUAACUAAGUACACCUUAUAGAAUUAUCAAAAAUACCCCUGAUACACCCUAAUACUUGUAGCAUUAUUUUUACCGUAGUGGAGAUAUUGAUAAAGCAUUUGCUGUUGAGAAACACAUGUUGGAGCAUGGUGUCUAUCCAGAAGAGCCUGAACUAGAGGCCCUCUUACGAGUGAGUGUGGGAGUCGGUAAAGGUGACAAGGUGUAUUAUAUGCUGCACAAACUAAGAACAAGUGUAAGGAAUGUCUCACCGUCUACUGCCAAUUUAAUUAUGAACUAGUUUCAUAGCAAAGAAGCUGCAAGAGUGGGAAAAAUAAAAUGGGAUCCAAGAUUGAUAAGGGAGGCAAUUGAGAAUGGGGGUGGGGGCUGGCAUGGGCAGGGUUGGUUGGGAAAAGGAAAAUGGUCUGUGUUGCGUACAACUAUAGGAGCUGAUGGCUUGUGCAAAUGCUGUGAGGAAAAAUUGGCCACAAUUCAAAUAGAUUAAUUGGAUUCUAAAGUGUAUAGAAUAGAUUGAAACCUUGAUGUUAUUUACUCACAUCAAGAAACAGCAAGAAGCUCUCCAAUCAAUAUGCAGAACUAAUCAACAUUGACAACAGCCAAGUCAAAAGCACCCUUCUAAAAGUUGUCUAGUAGAUGUGUCGCUGCUUUUUAAGUUGUCUAAUCCAAGUUGCCAAGUCUGAGAAGAAAGAUGGGCACUGAGCAAUCUGUUCCAAGCCAUUCUAACUCGCGGAUCACAAAGAUAGGCACCGAGGAAUCCCUUGAUUAGGGUUGAAUAUGGUUAGUAGGGUGUACUUAGCUAAAGAAACUUAAGAAGAACAAAUUCAAGGCACAUCUCAUUUUUUGCUAUACACCACUUUCCCUUUUAAUUUCUCCCCAUUGAGGUUCUUGGACCUUGAGCAUUCUUUUAAGUAAAAAGACAUGGAAUUCGUGAAUUCAACUAAAAGAUAUUCGGUUGAUUGUGGAGCAGUAGGAACUAUCCCUCUACUUAGGGUUUUGCAUUAAAAUUUUAAAUCUUAUUUGAGUGAUUCUAUUGUCAUUGCUCACAUUCCAAUCAAAAAGUUUAAAUUUUGUUUGAGUUCUUCUGUUGUUAUUCUCAUUUUUGCAUCUUGCCCCAACUAAAAUUUUAAAUAAUUCAAAAUAGGAAGGAAACUAGAGAUGAGGAAGGGUUGAAGAAAAUAAAUAAUACAUAAAGCUAAAGCUAUAAUAUUCAUGCCUUGAUGUUGCAAUUCCGAUCUACCAAGGACAAAGCUAACUCCAUCAGAUGAUUUAAUUAUUCAUAAUCUUUUUAAUGUCUAGAGGAUCCAAAAAAAAAAAAAAAAACCCGAAACCUGCUAAGUUGUAUUGUAUUUGUUCUAAUUUAUAAAUUGAAUUAUAAAUUGAAUUGGAUUUGACCGGUCGGUUGGAUGAAUUGGAUUGAAUUUGGGAUAGCCAAUCUUCAUAUUUUAUAUUUUAGUUUCAUCUUCAAUAGUAAAAAAGAAAAAAAAAUCGAAAACGUUAAUACCCAAAAAAAAGUAAAAAUGUUACUGAUUUAAACCGACAUUAGCUUGGAAACGAUGGAUUUGCUUCUUCUUUUGGAAAUGAUGCAUUUGAUUCUUUCUAUUUUAGGGCAAGAAUGAUGCAUUUGGAUUUGACCGCCCUUCUCUCUCCUUAUCUCUGAUAUGAUAUUGUAUUAUUUUGCAUUCCUUUUGUUUCCGACGGUGACAUCUCUUACUUAAUUUGAGCCUUGGACUUGGACUUGUUGGACUUAAUAUGGUAAAUGAAUGCUAACUAAGACACAAUCUCUAGGUAUUUUGGUAACAAGAUCGUACUUAGUUUGUUUAUAAAGAAAUGAAAUUGGACUUUAAUGCAAGGACUAAUAAAUGGCAAAUGUAUAAAUAAAAUCCAUUUCUAAUACACUAAUUAAGGUGUAACAUCAUCAUUCUUCUUAACACUUGACACGUGUUCAUGAGUAUAAUCAUGAUUUCAUAAAUAUUAAAUAAAAAAUUAACUACGGUUACGUCUAUAGACAUGUGUCAGGUGAUGAAUAGGAUGAUAAUGGUACACCUUGAGUUAAAAUUGUAAGUAAAAAUAUUUUUUGAACAUUUUGUCAUGACAAUUAAUAAAAUUAUAGUGCAAUAUUCAAGCGAUCUUUUGCCCUUUCUCAAAAGAUUACUUUUCCAUAAUAUAUAUAUAUAUAUAUAUGUGUGUGUGUGUGUGUGUGUGUGUGUGUGUCCCCAAAGGCCAAAACUUGUCUUAUCCCAAAACAAUCCGGAACCCAAAAAUUCAGGCUCUGAAAAAUUCUUGAUUUUCUUCUUCUUCUUCUUCUUCUUUGAAUCAAAGUAAGUGCACAAGUGUCAAAGCCAUUUUGUAAAAGUAAGAAAACAAUGUGGUCUGGUGCACUUCGAGCUGCGCUUAUAUGGACCAAGGCUUCAAGAUGGAGGAAAGUAUCCAAAUGGUAAACUAUACUUUUACUCGACCCUCUUAAGUUUUUCGUGCCACAAAAUACUUGCAGAACCCUUCAUCGGUUUUCUAGCGCAAAAAAAAACAUGUCCAUCUAUAUUUUUAUACCACUGUGAAAAUGAAAACAAAAUUAUAGUUUGAGAUUGCCCUGAAAUGGGUUAACCUGUUAUUUUUGGAUGAAUGUUUUCCUGCUUCUUGCUUCACUUGUCAUUUUAGUUCUUGUUUGUUUAUUGCUCUUCUAUGAUUUAAGAAGAGAAAAAAAAAGGGAUUCAAACUAAUUUGUAUCUACUUCCCUCUAGUUUUUGGGGUUCCAUGAAGAGUUGGUGGAGACCUUGUUACUUGCAAACCUAAUUUAUGAUCCUAUUUCUUAGUGUUUGUAGGACAUUGACUUGUCAACUUUGGAUACGCAUGGCUGAGUAGAUUAUUAUUAUCAUUACUAUUUUUUUAUACAAACGAUAUUAGGAAAAUGAGAAAUCAAACUUAAAACUUUGGGAUGCAAGGAUAAAUAUUUUUAGCCACUUAGGCUAUAAGCCGAUGAAUCUAAUUUUUUAUAAUAUGUUUAAACAAAAUUAUUUAAAUAUAAAAGUCUUGAAUAGAUGAGUUUCAAUUCUACGAGUGAUGUUGUCCAAAUAAUAAAAAACUUAAAUAUUUUUCACAUAGGCUGGCCAUUUUUGGUAGCACAUGUGACUAAUAACAUGCUUGUAUUGCAGCAAGAGCCUGGUUAAGCAAGUUCAAAUGCACUUAACCAUCCAAAAGAACAGGAGAGACGCUAUUAUAAGGCAGGCACGUGUGGACAUUGCCCAGCUUCUUCAAAAUGGCCAGCCACAGCAAGCUUUAGCUAGGGUAAUUAAUCUUAUAUUGCUAAUCAAAUUCAAAUGUAGCACUAACCACUUGGGUUUUACCUCUUGGCUAGCACCCAAAAGACUCUAAUUUGAUUUGAAGUCUCAUGAAAUGUCAACUUCUUGUUUUUAUGUCCAGGUUGAGACACUCCAGAAGGACCAGUGCCUUUUGGCUGCUUAUGAUCAAAUUGACCAUUUCUGCAGUUGCAUAAGCAUCAGCAUUGUCCAUGUAUUCAAAAACAAGUAAUUAAGUACUUGACUUGGAAUUUACUUUAAAUUCUUAAUCAUUCCUUCACUGGUUGAGAUAAAUUUCAUGAACCAAUAAAUUGAUUGUAUAUAAUAUUACUCAUUUUUUAAGUUAGUGUUUCAGUUGGCUGAAUUGGUUGCUGCAGGACUGUGCAAGAUUUGCCUAGUAGUGUUGGAGAAGCAAUGGCAAGUUUGAUAUUUGCUGCCUCAAGAUGUGGUGAACUGCCAGAGCUGCGUUUGCUGCGUGGCCUGUUUACAGAGCAAUAUGGAUGGGAAUUUGACAUUACCAGCGUUGAAUUGCGACCUGGGAAUCUUGUAAAUUCUCAGUUGAAGGAGAAACUAUGCAUAAAUCUGAUUCCCGAUGAUGUGAAACAAGGGUUAUUAAGUGAUCUAGUAAACAAGAGCAGUGUUCAGAUGACGCUCCAGGAUCGACCAGGCACCGCACGUCAGGUGAGAGUAAUGCUAGUUGUACCACAUUUAUUCGUUACAUUAUUGACUAACGAGCAGUCAUACUGAUAGCACGAAUCUUUGUGUUACAGUAUGGUUUUAUAAUAUAUCUUGGAUGCUUGAUGUUUUUAACUCUAUGAAUUCUGUGUUACAUCAUUUUCUGAUGCAUGGCACAGAAAUAUAGCUUUUCAGACAAAGAUUUCAAGGAUAAGCAGAAAUUUGAUGGGAUUCAAAUACAAAUUCCAAAAUUGGAGACAGCGAGGAAAACUGGGAUAGUCUGUUCUCUGUCAAACGGUAAGUUCUCAGUGGCUACUCCAUCCCAUUCUCAAAUUUGCUCAAAUACUACUUAUGGUUUAGGUGACUCAACCAAAACCAAGAAAAAUGAAGAUCAAGAUCAUCGCAGCAAUGGAAACAUACAUAUAAAUAUUGACUCAGGGGGUAGAAAUGCAAGCUUUAGAACAUAUGCCAUGACUAGUUUACCUAGAAAAAGCCCAACUGGGAAAAUGGUUCCGUCCAAAAUCCGGUAUGACCAUCUCUCCCCGAUGGAUGCUCCGAACAAAGAUCGUUCCAAGAUGUUGGCGAAGGGUCGCCAUUCUUUCAGUAGUUCGGCUGACGAACAUAAAAUCGCAAAGGGAAUAUCUCCUUGCCAUGUCCACCCCAAGCUUCCAGAAUAUGACGAUCUAGUGGCCAAACUUCGUUCUCUCAAGGCAGAGUAUAGGCAUCAUAAAAGCUUCUCGUUUUUCUGAAUAUUUUGAGAAGGAUGCAGCAAUAGGAUUUGAUCAAAAUCUCAAAAAUAUUAGUGAAAUUGAUUUUUAGGUCGUGGAAUUGGGUGAAUGAUAACUGAGUUGUAUUUUCGUAACCUUUUUUUGUUACAGAAUAGGGUAGUAUUUAAUGUAAAAUCUCAGCAAUCCAACGGUUCAUUCUUCUAUGCACAUUUUGCUUAUGCAGAUAUAGAAUUAUAAUUGGUUUAGCAUCAACAAACUGAAAUCAGGAAACAUAAUUAACAAAUUCUGUUGAUAUCUCCGCAGCUCUUCACAUUUUCCUUGUCCUCUAUCCUUUCAUGCACAAAUAAGUCAGAACUGUCAAACCCUCCAUGAAAAAUCCAACCCAAUCAACAAUAUUGAAUCAUGUCACUAUAUACUCUUUUUACAACUUCCUAUUUCAAUAUUAAUCUAAGGGCUAUUUUCAAUAAGUAGAUUGGCCGGUUGAGCCAGUGUGGAUAAGUUUUUUUUUUAAACCCCACAAACAUUAUAUACUUGCCGAUCAACAAAAGGUGCAAAGAUGUCUGCUUUCUUACACAUACAAACAGAUUUUUGAUAAGAAAAUUACAAGAGAUGCAGAAAAUAACUCACAGUGACUAUCAAUGCAAAUGCACUAGUUACAUCAAAUAAACAGGUGGGUUUGUUUGUGUCUUCCUAGGAUAUACAAAAAGAUAACUUACAGUGCUCUCCUUGUGUGGCAGCAACACCCGAGGCCUUAUUGUGUAUGAGAGCUGUGAGGUUAUUCACUUGACAGCCAUAAGGCAUGCAUCAGCUGCAUUAUCAAGCAUUUCAAUUGAAAGGUCCAUCCCUUGGACUUGAAUAACCCAGAAACCAAUGCCGAAGAAUUAGGAUAUGAACUGCAAUCAAAAGCUACUAGCAAUGAAUUAACUAAGCUCCACAAUAUCAAUUGACAGGAGAGUUUCGGCUUUUCCGCCCAAACAAUAGAAGCUUCUUAAACCCUUUGGCAGCUUUAGGAGAGGUUUCAUCACUGUUCCAUUUCUUCCUGGAGUGGAGUUGUUCUCUGAGUGUUUCAUCACUUGGUGGAGUAGAGAUUUCUAUCUCAGAAAUCUCAGAAGAGAUUGGUAAGUUCUUAGUUAUUGGACCAUUUUCUUCAAUGUUCACGGCGGAAACAAUUGAAGUUUUGUUAGGUGAUCUUGGAAUAGGAGGAUACACACUCAUUUCAGGAAGAUAAUUUCUUUUGUCUUCACUAAGAACUGGAAAUUCCUGAGGCAACUCUUCAGCAUCACCUGUAAACUGAUCCAGUUUUGCGGAGUUCACUUCAAAAGGCACAGAAAGACGCAAAUUGGGAGAAUACCCAUUGCAGCUUCCGUUCUCCAAGGCCUCUCUUUGUAACGUCAGAUUUCCUUCACUCUUUUCAACAGAAGAUGUACCAUGGAGUUCCUUAGUCUCUUCCAAAUGAUUGAUGGAACUAGCGGGUUGAGUUGCAGGUGCAGCUGAUGACUCAAUUGGCAGUGCUUCUGUAGCUUCUAUGCAAACCUUUUCCUGGACAUAAGAGUCAGACGAAAUUAAUGGAUUUAAAUUCUUCAGGUCGUCUUUCACAUCUGAAGGUUUGGUUUUGUUUGGACUUGGUUUCUUAUUCAUAGCACCAGCUGCCUUCUGCGACGAGGCAGUUGCAACUACACCAUUUGCUUUAAUGUUUUGUUUUUUGGGUUGGCCAGAAUUCACCCCCGCGGUUGACAGCUUUUCAGUUACCCGAGCAGUUGCAAGGCGUUCAAGGGUGGAACUCCGGAGGACAGGCUUAUCUGAUUUCUUAGUCUCUUGGAUUGAGGAUUGAGUUUUAAGCUUCUCACUCUUCGUGUUAGUCAUGGCAGUUUUGUUUUCCACUGGGGCCUUCUUAGACGUUGCUGUAUUAGAACCACUCCUUUCAGCAAUUCUCUUCUGGCGUUGAAUUCGUAACUCCUCCAUUCUCUUUCUCUGUUCUUCUUCCUAAAAAUAUAUUGGAAAAGAAAGUGAAUAAAACCAGCAAAAUGGAAAAAGGAAGAAGGGGAGUGUUAGUAAUAGUGGACAAAGGUUUAGUCUUGUGACAUCAAAGAAAAAGAAGCAAGUCCAUUUGGUCUGGGUAACAAAAACAAGUUCUACAGCAUAUUGCGUUCAUCAAAAGGAAUUAGGAAAAAUCAGAUAAAAAAUUGCAAUGAGUAUAAAAUAUUUAAAAACUCGGAAAACACUGAAAAUGAUAUCAAUGAAAAAACAGACUGGUGUCUAAAGCAUAACUAUUUCAAAUUUGUGGGACAGAUUAUGCCACUCUUUCUUGUUCCCCCCAAAAAAAGAGUUGGAAAGGAAAUCUAGCUUUGCAAAUCUUACAAUGGGAGUUAUCUUUCAGUACUUUCUAUCCCUUCCCACAUUAUUCCAUGAACCACUUGCAACGAAAAUGUUCGUUACAUACCUUUUCAAAUUUGCUCUUCGGGACUGUGCUUUUGCUUACAGAAGUAGGUCUUGUGCUUCUUGACAUGAUAUCAGAUUUGCUCUUCCCCAAAGAUCCAUUUACAACUUUAGGCCUUGCUUCUUUGGAUUGAACUUUAUCUCCAGGACUUCCACUAUUUUUAUCAUUCCUUCUCUUACUAUUAGAAGGUUUCUUAACUUCAACACAAUCAGUCAUUUCAGUGCCAGGAUUCUUUUUAGUGGCCUCAAAUGAUGACACAUUAUUCUCAUAAUCCAUUUCGGGAGUCCAUGGUGCCACAGCAUGCUCCACAGCUGAACCACGGUCAAGCAUCAUGUAAAGGUCAUCUGGUUCAUGGGUGCUAAAGGCCUCAGGUUUAUCAUUUGAAAUUUCCUCCAUGCCAUAUUCAUAUUGAGUAGCUCCAAUAAUAUCUGGAACGAUGCUUAUAUCUGUCCUGAACUGAGAAUCUGAUUGAUCAACCACUGAUUGGUCUCGAACCAUGAAAGAGUCAUCCACAAGAACAUCUCUCUUAUUUUUCUCAGCAUGAAUACUGUCAGUUGCUAACUUUGAUGAAGCAUAAACACCAUCAAAAAGUUUCAGAUCAUUGCUGGCAUCCUGAUUUGCUGAUAUAUCUGUUUGGUUGCUGAUGAACCAAUCCCCUUCAUUAGGACAUUUGGUUGUGUAAGAUUCAUUGGCACAACCAGAUACAGUAUCAUGGGAAUUGUUCCCCGAUUCUUCAAUUCUCCGUGAAAAUAAUACAUCCUCAUAUGUGUUAUCAGUUCUCUUGGUAAUCCGAGCAGCAUUCUCGUCACCUUCAAAGUACCGGACGUGCGUUUUACUCUCAUUACCUGGAUCCCUCUCUGUCACCACAAAAAAAUCACUUGAAUCUGCUUGUUGCUUAGUCACUUUCGUCUGUUCCUGGUUAAAUGCAAAUGACCUUCCUUCACCAGAGUUCUUACUUGAAAAAUAUUCUUCCUCAACCUGUAUAUUGUGUGGUUCCAUAUCAAAAGAACUUGAAUCCUUGUCCCUCAUGAGAAGGUCCUGAAAAGCAUUCCAGUUGUCAUUUUGUUUUUCUCCCUUGUAAUUAUUUGCAACUCCAUUUUUAAUUUCCUGAUCAGCAGCACCAUUUGAAUCAUCUACGUUGCCUGGAAACUUGCUCCCAUCUUGUUUUCUUUGAUGAUGUGAGGUUGACCUAUGUUUCUUCCCCAAUGACCCAACAGCUUCCUCCACCUGCUGUUUAAUGGAUUUGCCAUCAAUGAACUCAUCCUCAUCAGAUGAAUUUCCCUCAGACACACUGCCUGUUUCUCCAUCCCUUUUAGAGGUUAUGUAAUUGAUAUUACGGAUAACAACCUUUCUCGAGGACUUCCUCCCAUGCUUUUUCCUAUGCACCUGCUCUGUUCCAGAGUACUUUUUUCCAUGUUCCAUAGGAUCAUCAGAUUCACUCUCAUAACUAGAGCCAGUGCUCUGAUCGGAUCCAUCUUGCUCUGACGUUUCCAGCACUUUUCCAUGAGAAUGUUUCUUUUUAUUCCUAUGAGAUUUAUGAUUCCUACGACCAUCGGAUUCCUGAUCAAAAGUAGGGCCAGAUUCUUCCCCAUUUGGAGGCCAUUUCAUAUUCCCUGGAUAAUAUGGUGGAACCUGCAUACCAGGAAAAAUGUAACCUUGAUAGGGGUGCAUUUGUGGAUAUACAGGACCUUGAAAAUUGUGCAUGUACUGGGGAAGAUGGUUUGGCCAUGGGUUUGGUACUUGAGCUUUCCCAUCCGUUGAUGACAUCUUACCCGAUGCUGGCAAGCUAUUAUCUGCACAAGACAAGAGAAGAUGUUGUUGGAGAUAGAAGCUCAGUUUUUCUCAUAUUGUAAUCCUAAAGUAGCUCUAACAUGGGUAACACAAUAGCCUUUAAGAUGACAGACAGGAAUUACUGGCUUCUCUCAUAAGAUUGUUAGAUGUGAAACGAAAAUGAAGAUGAUUAUAGCAAUAUCUGUGGAUUACGAUUUUUAAACCAUGUCACAUAUUUUGCAAAUGAAAUUUUUGGGCAAGUAGAUCACAUCCAAAUUAUAAGCAGAAACUGGAAAGACCCAUGGAUGUUCAACCAUACCUUGGUUCACAUCCAGACUUCCAUGACUUGUUGACUCAGACACUGAUGUGUCUAGUGAGCCAUUUUUCCCAACAGAGAGAGUACUAUGGUUAACAUUUAUCAUGAGAUUCUGACUGGGGUCAUUAUCUUCUCCAGCAAGAAUGAUUCCUGAUGUUCCCAAGUAUGGCAGUUCUGGGUGAGCGCAUGCCUGCAUUGCUGCUAUUUCUUCCAUCCAAAGCCUAUCUUCAUUCUUUUGUUUGUAUAGAUUUAUGAAAUUAAUGCAUGCUUCCCUGAAAAAAACAAACAAACAAACACAGAUUUCAUCCUUUAACAAAAUAUACACCCACCAAACCUCCAAACGAGAAAAAAAGAAUAAGAAGAAAGACAGUUCUGAAUAAGAAAAGUAGAACUUUAUUACAUGAAUUUAUGGAAAGAGGAUAAAAGCAUUUAAAAGCCAUUAUCCCCUAUAUACCCCCCGAAAAUGGUUUCCUGGAAGAUAUCUCGAUAUGUUUUUUAUUGUUCAGUGUCCUAACUUAUUUUCUUUAAUUUGAAAAGGUACAUGGCCAAAAAACUUGUGGAAGACAGUUCCAAGUCAAGUCAACUUUCUGUACCUUAAACGUGAAGCUCCAAAAGUAUCAGAGAAAGAUAUAAGAUCAUCUAUAUAGUCCAGUUCAAAUCCAGCUACUAAAGCACGAGCAUAAGCCAUCGCUUGUUCUUUGCAUAGUACUACCUUCCGGGUUUCCAAAACACGUUGGAGACGAAUCCUGUUCAACAACAGCAGCUGAGUAAUCAAUGCAUGAAAAUGCAUUAUGUUGUAAGUUGUAACCAAUUAUGUACUCACAUAUAAGCAAAUGACAAUCCAGAUAACUUACUUGGAAUUCUCUUCUGGCACAGCAUCAAUGGUUACAUUGGAUUCACUGUUUGACUAAUGCACCAUCACAACACAAUAAAAUGGUUCAUUAUAAUGGAAAGUGCUUCAAAAAGAAACAUCAGUAUUUCACAUACAAUUGCCAAAUGAUGCAUACCUUCAAUGCAAUUGACUUAUUGUGAUUCCCAUCAGCUGUGGAUAUUUUAACAAACUAAAAGUCAGAAGAUAGGUUUUAUCAACUGUAGAAGUUAAAGUAAUAAAGAGAAAGGGUGGGCCAUGCACAAGCCUCCCCACCAUUGCAGGGUCUGAGUUGGUUCAGAUGUAAGCAGCCUUACCCCUGCUUGCGGAGGGGCUGCAUCAUCCUAUUUUUAACCUGCGACCUCCAUGUCACAGUUGAGCAGCCUUACCAGAGAGAUUAAAGUAAUAUAACUCUUUUUUCAUAUUUAUCCAUUGCUUGUAGUAAAUGCAUGUUUAAGGGUUCAAAGAGAGCCCAACAUUUUUUCAUCUCUAGCUGGUGAAUUUAUUCCCAGAAUAGAAAACAGGGUUUCAUAAAUGAAUUUGAUAUUUAGUUCAAUAGAUCAAGAACGGAAUCGAUUCAGUAAAUGCAAUCCGCAGGUAAAUGAAUUGAAGAAUAUCAAGAAGAGAUAAAGUAUAAGUAAGCAUCUCCAAAAUGCACCUUCUGCCUCUGUCAAUUCGUUCGAUUGAAUCGAAUUCUCAAUUUGCAAAAUCUCCCUCUCAAUAGUCACAAAUCUUUCAAGAGCUUCUGGUGUGGUAACAAACUUCACAAACCUGUUGCAUGUACAUCAAUAAAAUGACACCAAUUACACAAUCUGUCAACAACGAACAAUUAUUUAGCACUUCAUACAUGAUGAAAUAUGCAACUAUAACAAGCUAAAGAACAGAACUUUACAUCAAAUCUAAGAGUGCUCUGACUCCAAUGUCAUUUUUUGGUUAUCACAAUUAUGACCAGGAUCUUCACUUAAAUUAAUUAUAAUAUAUGAUUUUCUUUUUAUAAUUAAUGGGUUCAACCCAGAUCUAAACUUGGUCAUCAUCAAAUUUGGAAAUUUUCACUCAAUUAUGCUAGAAUAUGCAAGCAACCCAUUGAAAAUUGGACAAAAAAUUCUUACUUAACUGAUACCUGAGAAACAAACUCAAACAAACACACACAGAAUUACCUUUGCAAAGUGGCUUUGGUGAACCAGGAGGCACCUGAGCCCGGAGGACGAAGAAUAAUGGAGUAGCCUCCUUUGGAAAUCUGAUCCUUGGCGCAUUUCAAGUGUACAAGAAAUGGUUCUAGAAGCCCUGAAGCCAAUUUCUCGCUUCCACCAGCAGCAGCAAAUAUCACCAAUUCACAUCUUUAACACAAAUCAAUGAUAGAAAACUCAAUUUUAGCCGAAACCCAGAAAAUGUUCACUGUUCAAUUGCACACAACAACAUGAACAAUAUGAAAGUACGCGUCUUUGUGUGUGUGUUUGUGAGCAAAGUACCUUGUUCUGGUUGGAGUGAGUUGGAACAGAGCAUGAUCAAGACGAGUCCUAGAAUCCAUUGCCAAUAUGAGAGAGAGAGAGAGAGAGAGAGAUUUAGAGAGGUUCAAAAUGUGAGCUUGGACAUGUGGUAUGGAGGUUUGGGUGGAGAUGUUUUGUUAGAAUGGGGCCGAACACAUGAGAGAGGGAGAGAGAGUGCCAGCAGGAGGUGAUGAAGCUGAGCACAUGGGGGAAGUUUGAGAGCGUCGGAGGAGCACUUUUAGAUUGUUUCUGAAUGUGGAUCCCACGUGACAAUGCCGACAGAAACGUAUCUAUCUUACGUUUCUCACUCCCUCUCUCACUUUCACUUUGCUUUCACGGAAGAAGAUGAAGACGAAGAUGAAAAGAUGAAUGAAUCUAAGGUGUCCAAUCUUUCUUAAACCCCCCUCCCCUCCGCACAAUCUACAUCAUGUAUUUUACAAAACAUUAGGAUUAUAUGUUGCAAUUCUAUAGUAAAGGUAAUUAUAGAAAUAUUUGUGGCUAGCAUUUUUUUAGCAACCAAUAUAUAGGAUCCAUCUGUAUUACAGGGUGGGUGGUUAACAAUGUAACCAAUAAAUAUGAUACAAAUAUAACCUCACAUCAUUACAAUUAUGAAUAAAUAUAUGUUCGAUUUAUCACAUCGUUUAAAUAUUUUUAAUACAUCUUCGCAUACAUUUUAAUCUUAAAUACAAAUAAAUAUUCUUUUGUUGGAGAGUUUGAUUUAUUCCAAAAAAGAAGAUUGCAUAUUCAUACAUAUUUACACUUAAUUAAUAACUUUAUUUUACAAUCUAACAAUAUAACAUUCUAUCUUUCGGAGUCUAUAAGAAUAUAAUAUACUAUUAUUAAGAAGAAAAAAGGGGUUGAGAAGUCUAUGUCUUGGGUUCGCUCUUUUGGAAGCUUGUUUUUAAAGAGAGUAAUAAGAAACAAAGAGAAAGAGGGUCCUCUCGCAUUCAUGCUGAAUACGUGACACAGAAUAGUGUGUGUGUGUGUGUGAGUGUGAGCAAAAAGCUAUGGUGUUGCUUUACUGAUACUAAAUACUAUUGAAGACUUUGAAGCAAAAUAGAGUGAGGGAGUGGACAAGGAAUCAUAACACUGUCAAGCACCAACCGCAAAAAGUUACCCCAAAUAUUGAAUGCCAAUUUCUCCUAUAGCAUACUACUUUUCUAUUUCUUAACUAGCCCCUUUCCCUCUUAUUCAUUCAACCGCAAUUUAUUAAAUUUAUUAACGUUCGGCACACACCGAGUCCAUUCACCCAAUAAAAAUAUAAUACACGAGCUUUGUAUAUGUAGGCCCAACAAAUCGCUCGCGGCCUCGGCCUCAUAGCUAUCUUAGGAAACUCAAGAGGAUGCGAAUCAUCCACGUCGAUGACAAGACCUCCCCGGUUACAGGUUCCUCACACCUCAUAGAAUGUACCCACGUCUCCUGAAGAGUCAGGUGUAAACUGCCUAAAUCACCACAUGACCAGAUGGAACUGUUGCCAUGCGCAACAGGCUACUCUGCCCACACCCUGCCCCCUAAUAGAAACAUAGAGGUCAUCAUGGGCAGAGAACGUGGAUGGACUCCGACUGCCCAUCAUCUGACAAAUUCGAUGUGAUAUAAAUGGCUCGCCUCCUAGUCGAGGUGACCAGCUUGUUUUCAUUUACUUCUCCCUAUAAAUAAAACAUAGAUUUUUUUUAGAAAAUGACAAUUUUGGGAUCCCUUCAAUACUAAGAGGAAUAAAAGAGAAAAGCCUUGUCCCUUCUCUUUGACCCCUACCUUAUUUCCCAUUAAGCUUCUCCUCUCCUGGAAUCACAUUUAGAAUAAUUGUAUCUUCGUAUGUUGGCCAUUGGAAUAUCUGUAGUUCAAACAAAAUUAGUUCUCUAAUGGUGCGUUUGGAUGAGGAAAAUAAAUUUGGGAUUUUGACAAAAGUCAGAAUUUCUAAAUUGACAUGAACAAAUUCACUUAUUUGGAUUUAAAAAAAACACAGAAAUGUAGAAAUUUUGCAUGGGAAAAUAAAUAGAAUUUGGUGGUCAUAAAUUCAAACUUUAAAUUCUAUCUAAAAGUCGUCAUUUCUAAAAUUACAAGAGAGAUUGAGUUUCUUUAAAAAAAGAUAACUUUACAAAUAAAUGUUAAAUUCCGUAUUUAAAUCCGUUAUCUAAGCAAGAAACUUUACAAAUUCUAGAAUAUUAAUUUCUAUCAUUUUAAAUUCCAUCAUUUAUAACUUCAGUUAUCCAAACAAGAUGAAGAAAGAAUGAGAGAAAAGAAAAAUCAAAGAAUUGCAAGAUUAGAUUGCACCAUAAACAUAAGACAUUGGUUUAUCCAAAAACAUCAUUAAUCAUUUUAAGGACUUUCUUUCUCAUUUUGAUAACGAAGGGCUUUCUCUUGUUCCCCGAAGUUAUAAUGGAGUUGCCUAUACUCUUCCUAAUGAUGAUUCUAUUAGUUGGGUUGAUUGGCCCCCUGGUUUAUUCAUAAUGUUUUAUUUGAAGAUUGUAAUUCUUCAUAAUUAUCAAUAAAUGAUUGUACUUUCUUUAAAUUGAAACAAGAAGAUGAUUUCGGGCAUGUUUGGGAGUGCUUCUGGAAGGCUAAAAGAGUUUUCUAACAACUAAAAGUGCUUCUAACAGCCUUUGACAGAAAAAGUUUAGAAGUGCUUCCUAGAAAAGCACUCCCAUCUUUUUUUUAAUGAAAAUUUAAAAUUUUUAUAACGAAAGUAUUUUUUUAGAUGCACUUAUGAGCAGAAAUACUUCCAAAAAGCAGUUCCAAACCAACCCUUCAUUUUCUUGGACAUAUAAAAAGUUUCAAGAGUUAAUUGUUUUCUUCUACUGGUGUGGAUUGUAAGGCAAAUUACAAGGCCAAUUUAGCUUUUUCCAGUCUCAAGUGAUGUUCCAAUUAUUGAUUUCGUCUAUUAGGCCAUAACCUUCCUUUUUAUACAAUUUAAUAUUUUAUCUAACUAUGCAAGUGGAUAAUAUAUCAUGAUGAUGAGGAAUUUUAAAGUUUGCUACUUGUUUUCAUAAAUCAUAUAUAUACUUCUAAUUUCUAAUUAAUCAUAGUUGAAAAAAGAUGAUGCCAUAAUUGGUUUUCAAUCAUCGAGGGCCGAUUCCUACACCUGUUUUUGAAUUUACAUGCUAACAAGAACGUCAAGAAGUUCAUUAGUCACAAUGAUCACCGCUCACCUUUCUUCAUGUACUUUGAAUUAUUUUCUUCAGCUACUUCCAAAACUGAAGCUACCUUUGAUGAUUUGCAAACAUAAUUAUAUCAACUACCAUCCAACUUGUAUAUGAUUUGCCAAGAAUAACUUCAUGGAAAGAAACUGAAUUUCAAAUUCCAGAGUUUUUUAUUUAUUUAAUUAUUCAUUGUUUCUCUGUACAUUCAUAUUCCCCUAACUACAUUAACAGUCAUCGAAGAAAUACUUGUUUUGUGAGCACUCCACUUUCUAAGUAAUUUAUUAGUAAAGAACAGCCACCACUUUUUUUUUGGUAUCAAAUUCUGAGACAGUGUUGAUCUUAACCUUUAACCUUAUUAGUUAAACAUUUAAAUUAGUUAAGGUUUACUUUAAAACGGCUUGUACAUGAUUCUGUGGAACUAAUUAGGGCAAAUUAUAUCAUUAACGAGGUGUUAGUUAGAUUGGUGUGCUCUAAAGUGGUUAUUGGUUCAAAUUUCUAUGAUAUCCGUAUGUGUGAGUUUAAAAAACAAAAAUUGGGGCAAAUUAUCAUGACAUAAUGAUGCCAAGGCCCCAUCUAAAAACCAUUUCUAUUUCUAGUUGGUUCAUAAAUUGUUAGGAAAAGAAACAAGGGAAAAAAAAAAGAAAGAGGAAAAAGGUAAUAAGUUUAUGUUAGAUUUCUUGACCAAAAAAAAAAAGUUUAUGUUAUAAAUUUUUGUCAGACAUAAAGUACUAUUGUGAAACAACAAUCUACCUUACAUUAGCUGGAUACAUUAUGACAUUUUGUCUAUGAUGAUGAUGACCAAACACCCAUCUGAAACAAGUAACAUUACUGGGUCCAUUUGCUGUUUCAUUCUGUGUAUUUUUUAAUAAUUAAGAACUGAUAUGAAAUCUUAACCACCACCACCCACCAGAGGACAAACAAAACUUCCAUUUCCUGCUGCCAGAUUAUCCAUAUGUUUGUUCUGAGUGUGUCAUAACUUUGGAUACCCUGAUAUUCAUAAAUUAAAUUCCAACAUUGUUUAUUUGAGGUUUUUUUUGUUGUUGUUGUAAAGGUUUGACCUACUUGUACAUGUGAGCAUGAAUAUGAACAUAUCUAAAUAAUUCAUAGCAUUUCCUGUUUAAAUAUGAGAAUUAUGAGAGAAUAUUUUUUUUGAGAAUUUUGUAUAUUUUUUGAUUAUAUUUAUAAGGCUUAUUUAUUUUAGUACUUCCUGAAACUUCGGUCAAAUCUUAUUUUACCCCCUUAAGGUUAAAGUGAUCCACUUAACCCCCUUGACCGAGGUUUGAUGACUCAUUUUGUCCCAUGACGUCAACUCCAUCCAAAAGUCCGUUAACUUUGAUGACAAGGCAAGUGGAAUCCACCUUCACAUAAAUAAAAAUAUAAUUAAAUAUUAUAAUAAUUAAAAAUUAAAAUAAAAAAUAAAAAACUACAUUUAAACAAAGUAAAAAUAACAAAAAUAACAAAAAAUAUAACAUAAUCAAACAAACCCAUCUCCCCUCCUUCCACCCAACCGCAGAACCCAUAACCCAGCCCCACAAACCCCUCCCCCCUCUUCUCCCACUUGCAACCCGAUUUCUUCUGACCACCACCCACAGAACAAAACCUUGUUCUUUUGGUUUUUGUCCACAGCUACUCCUCCCCCCUUACAACCCAACCAACCCGUCUCCCUCUCCCCUUCUUUUCCUCUCUCUCCCUUCGACACACAAAACAUUGAACCCAGUCGCACUAGCCUACCCAGAUUAGAAAAUAGUGAUGGUUUUUCAAUUUCAACUCUCUCUCUUUCUCUCUCUCUCCUCUCAUCGUGGGUCAUCGACUACCGAAUUUGCACAGAAUCACAAUCCUGUGUUGUGAACUCUGGAGAGGAUCUCAAUCUCGUUCUCUGUGUUGUGAAGGCUUGCUGACAACGUCGAUUGAGAUGGGUUGGGGGAUUUAGUAUUUUUCACUACCGUUGAGAAUGACAUGUAGAGAAAAGGCAAAGAAAGCUGGGCUUGUUGUUGAUAUGUUGAUGGGUUCUCUGAGAUUGUGAGAAUAAAGGUAGAGAGAGAUUGAGAUUGAAUUAGAGGAGGAGGUGAUAAAGGUAAAGGUUGUAUGAGGUAGUGGUGAUUGAAUGGGUUGGGGAGGUGAUCGUAAAGGAGAGUACUGUGUUAUCAAUUUUUAAAUUUUUGGGUUUUUUUAAUGUAGAUUUUUAUUAAUGUAGAAAGAAUUUCAUUUUUAACUUUUUCCAUUUUUUUUAUUUUUUUUAACUAAACAAGUAAUUACAUGAUUUAAUUAUAUAUUUUAUUUCACUUAAAUAAAAAAAAAGUGGGCCCUUUACAUGACACAUAAUCACUUGUGGUAAAAAAAGACUAAAAUAAGUAUGCCACAUCAUCAAAACUGACAGAGUUAUUAAUGAAGAUGAUGGUUGGGGGUAAAGUGAAACACGAAACCAAGGUCAAUGGGGUUAAAUGGGCCACUUUAACUUUGGGGGGUAAAAUGAGAUUUGACCGAAGUUUCAGGAGGUACUAUAGUAAAUGAUCAUAUUUAUAAUACAACGGAGUCUUCGUGACCAAGUAAAGUAAUAAAAAAUUUUAUUUUUAUUUAUAGUAGAAAAUCAGGAAUUAAAGUAAAUCAAUUACAAUUACAAUAGAAAUCUUUGGUGUGCAAGGAAAGAAAAUCAAUGGUCUACAAGUCACGCCAACAAUCCCUCUUACGUUGGUGCAUAUAUGUCGCAAAUGCCCAACUGAUCUAGUGAAUUGUAGAACGCUCUAUUGGAAAUCGCUUUUGUCAAAAUAUCCUCUAAUUGAUUCUCGGACUUCACGAAAGGGAACUGAAUCACUUUAGCCUCAAGCUUCUGUUUGAUGAAGUGUCGAUCUACCUCAACAUGUUUAGUGCAAUCAUGUUGAACCGGAUUCUGUGCGAUAGCUAUAGCAGCCUUGUUGUCACAAAAGAGAUUCAUUGUGGAUGUAGGUUUAUACCCAAGUUCAGUAAGCAACUUUCUUAACCAAAUAAGUUCACAAAUCCCUUUAGUCAUGCCUUUGAACUCAGCUUCUGCACUAGAUAAAGCAAAUAUCUUAUGUUUCUUACUCCUCUAUGUCAUCAAAUUACCUCCCACGAAUGUGACGUAACCCGAUAUAGAUCUUCUAUCUGUUACACUACCUGCCCAAUCUGCAUGUCAAUAACCAUCAAUAUUCAAAUGACCAUGUUUUGAGAACAUAAGUCAUUUUCCUGAUGCAGACUUCAAAUAUCUAAGUAUGCAAAGAACUGCAUUUAUGUGGUCUUCACUUGGAGAAUGCAUAAAUUGAAUGAGGACGUUCACCGCAUAAGCAAUGUCCGAUCGAGUAUGUGACAAGUAGAUCAAUCUUCUCACUAAUAGUUGGUAUCCUUCUUUGCUAGUUAGAACUUGAUCCUAGUAUUCUCCAAGAUGAUGAUUCUGAACAAUAGGAGUGUUUACAGGCUUGCAGUCUAGCAUUCCUGUGUCUGUCAACAAUUCCAAGACAUAUUUCUUUUAAGAGAGAAAUAUGCCUUACUGUGAUCGGGCUACCUCAAUCCCCAAGAAAUACUUGAGCCCACCUAGAUUCUUCAUCUUAAAUUUAAUAGCCAAAUAGUCUUAUAGCUUAGAUAUUUCAUGUUUAUCAUUCUUAGUAAUAAUCAUAUCAUCAACAUAGAUUAUUAAAGUUGUUACCUUCCUUUUCUGAUGUUUCAGAAACAGAGUAUGAUCUGAGUUACUUUGUCUGAAACCAUUGUUCUUCAUCACCAUGGUGAACCGUCCAAACUAUGCGCGCAGUGACAGUUUCAAUCCAUACAAUGCCUUUCAGAAUUUGCAUAUUAUUCCAGUCUGAGUAGUAUUAUAUCUAGGAGGAAUGUCCACAUACACCUCAUCUGUGAGUUCUCCAUGUAGAAAAACAUCCUUUGCAUCAAAUUGGUAUAAUGACCAAUCCAAAUUUGCUGCGAGGGACAGUAAAACUCUGACGGUUUUUAAUUUUGCAACUAGAGAAAAGGUUUCUUCAUAGUCUAUACUGUAGGUCUGUGUAUACCAUUUUGCCAUAAUUCUUCCUUUGUAUUGCUCGAUAGAUCCAUCAACAUUGUGUUUGAUAGUAAACACUCAUCUACAUCCAACCGUCUUUUUUCCUUGUGGAAAAGUUUUCAGUGUCCAAGUCUGAUUUUUCUUAAGAGCUUUCAUUUCUUUCUUUAUAACUUAAACCCACUUAGGAUCUUUCAAUGCUUCAGCAACCUUGGUUAGGAUAUGGAUAGUAAACAACUGAAGCACGAAAGCCUUGAGUGGUUCAGACAGCUUUUAAGUAGAUACAUGAUUCACAUUUGGAUACUUUGAUGUCUUAGCAAUAUCAGGUGAAUAACGAUUUGGUGGCUUCCCAUGAUUCUACAUGAAAGGUAAUUCAUAUCCAAUAUAUUUAUUUUCUAAAUUCACAAGUGCGGUAGGAGUAGUUACCUCAAAGAUAUUCUUAGGAGAUUGGUUCUUUGGUAAUGUUAAGUGAGAUGGUGGGUCUUUAUCUUGUUGUUCUGGGUUGUUUGUAGGAGUGAAACUCAAAUCAGAAACAACUUCGCAUAGAUCAGGAGAUCGAUUGUCGGGAAUGAGUGAUUGAUCGGUUUUUGAUAGAGAAGAAUAUCUCAUUCCAGACUUGGGGUGAUUGAUCGUCCAACACCGGACGAUCGAUCGUUUCUUGGCCGAGAGAAACCCUAUGCUCCAGACCUCGUGGUGAUCGUCAGAGGAAGAACGAUCGAUUGCUUCUGUGCAGACACAAAUUUCUUCUUUUUUCAAAUUGCUCCAAUUUUGCCAUUCACUCCGUAUCUCCCCCUAAAGUAUAGAAUUGGAUGUUGGGUCAUGGAAGAACAUCUCAUAUUCCAGAAAGGUCACAUCCAAAGUGACAUAGGUCUCACGAUUAUGAGGGUGCUAACACUAAUAACCUUUUUGAUGAGUGACAUAUUCCACAAAAAGCAACGAAGUGCACAUGGAUCAAGCUUGCUACGUUGAUUUUUAUGGAGGUGAACAAAGGCCACACAUCCAAAGAUUUGGGGUAUGAGAACCAAAACAGAGGGCAGAGGCCCGUGUUGUGCGAGCACUUGUAAAUGAGUUUUAAAGUUCAAGACACCAAAAGGCAUGCGAUUGAUUAGAUGAAUUGCAGUGAUGAUAACAUCAUCCCAGUGAUGGAGAGGAACAUGAGCGCCAAUAUGAAGUGCUCGGGCUGUUUCAAGAAAAUGUCGAUUCUUCCGUUCAGCAACAUCAUUUUGUUGUGGUAUCUGAGGACAUGUCGUCUCAUGGAUAAUUCAAUGUUGUUGGAAGUAAGUCUGAAAGUCAUAAUUUACAAAUUCUUCACCAUUGUCUGAGCGAAGAAUCUGCAUUUAAGCAUUGAACUGAGUUUUCAUCUAUUUGUGGAAGAAUUGAAAUCGUGAAAACACUUCAAUUUUAUUCUUCAACAAAUAAAGCAUUGUCAUCCGUGUACAAUCAUCUACGAAUAUGACAAACCAUCAAACGCUAGAAGGAGCAGUGAUAAGUGAGGGUCCCCAGACAUCAAAGUGAAUUAACGUAAACAAAGUAGUACACUUGCUCAGACUUAACGGAUAGGGCACAUAGUGACUCUUGGCCAAAAUACAAGUAUCACAUUUGAACUCGGAGUCUUUGAAAAUUGAGAAUAAAUCCAAUAGAAGAUGCUUCAUAUAACUAAAAGAUGAAUGUCCCAAUCGACAGUGCCACAACCAGAUUUGCUUUUGCUUUCUAUCAGAGGGAUGUAUCACACUGUUAGCCAUGCUAGGAUUGAAUUCAUCCACAUAAUAGAGCCCCCCUCUUUUAGUACCACAACCAAGAAUCUUUUUACUGUGCAUAUCCUGAAGCAAAUAAAAAGUCAGGUAAAUUAGUACACAAUAAUUCAAUUGUUUAAUAAUCUGACUAACUGACAUCAAUUUAUUGGAUAGAGAUGGAACAAAUAGAGUAUUAGACAGCGAGACAGGAUCAGGUGCGGAUCUUGAGUCAGGAUCGAGUUCAGGGUCUGGUUUUGCAUCUUUAGGAACUGAGCCAUCUGAGCACUCAAUUCAGUUAGGGUAGGGGUCUUGUUCUACAUAUGUAGGAACUGAGCCAUCUGAGUACUCAAUUUGACUAGGGUAGGAAACUGGUUCUACAUAUUUAGGAACUGAGCUAUUUGAGCACUUCAUUUGGCUAAAGUCAGGUGAGACUGAGAAGCGGGGUCGAUAGUGCUACCUCCAUGAGGAAUGAAAAAAUCAUCAUCCCCCAUGGCAGCGAUGAGGGUUUGAAAGUAGAGUCAGUAAUCCCAAGAUCGCUACUCUGAUACCAUACUACAAUAUGAGAACUAUGAGAGAAUAUUUGUUUGUGGGAAUUUUCUAUGUAUUCCUCUCCUUGUAGGAGGUCAUAUUUAUAAUACAACGGAGCCUUAGUGGCCAAAUAAAAUAAUAAAUUCAUAUUUCUAUUUAAAGUAAGAAAUCAGGAAUUAAAGUAAAUCAAUUACAAUUAUAAUCGGAAUCCUUGUGUGGAAGAAAAGAAAGUCAAUGGUGCACAAGUUACGCCAACACUUGCUUCUGUUGACCGAUUCAUAUCUAGUUCUAUGGGGUAAUAAAUUUUGUAGCAUGUAUUACUUUGUCUUCAGUUUGCUAUGUGUAACUUUCAAUUUUAGUUUCAGUUUUUUAUAUUUUAUACUAGUGAUAUUAGGAAAAGGAAAUUCAAACACAGGACCUUGAGUGCAUGUAUGUAUUAACUUGUAGUCUUUUUUCUUAUCACCUUAGUUAAUCAAUGGUAUUUUUUGGAUUUAUCAAUAUUUUUAGCGUUUGAGGCCUUCUUCUUAUAUAUAUAAACAACAUGAAACGACCCGAAAACAUUAGAGAAAAAAUUAUUUUAGACGAAAACAUUAGAGAAAAAAUAAUAAAUUUUGUUUUAUACAGUGGAACCUUUGAAUAACAUGAGAAAUGAGUAGCAAGGAAAACAACAAACAAAGCGCAAAGCAAAGCGAAGUGGCACAAGAUAAACCAAUUGGUAGAGAACAAAGGGGCCCAAAACACGGCCCAACAAAAAAAAAAAGAAUUAAUUAAUUCUAAAAGAGGGAAACAACAAUAAAGAGGCUCAUCACAAGACAUUUUGUCUCACCCUUUUAAGAUGUGGGGUUCUUCAAAUUUCCCAGACUUUUGCCUAGCUUUGUUACUCCUCUGUGAUGCUACGUUCAUCUAGUGUAAAUAGUUCAUCAUGGAGUUUGUUUGUCUGAUGUUCCUUUCAGUUCCAAAUUGUUUCCCUCUUUUCGGCCGAGGUAGUUGACGGAAGGAACUUUUGGUCCUUCUUCUUUUGAGUGCGGGGCGUGCCACCACCAAGCCCCGAAUUUGGGCUUAAAUGGAAUGUGAAUAGAUGGAUGUGUUGCGCUUCUAACUUCUGACCAAACGAUUGAUCGGCCAAGCAAGGAACCUCAUCUUGGCCUAGAUUCUUUCACUUCCUCGGGCUCGAAGAUGGUUAGGUUUCGUACAGAUGUUUUUAUGAUUUUUAGGAUUUUAAGUAAAAAUAAUGCAAUUAAACUAAAUAUGCGUAUAAACAUAAAGACAAGAAUUGAAGUGCGAUAAAAUAAAUUAGAGCGAUAAAUAAAGCAAGAACGAAAUAAAAACGAUAAAAACGAUAAGAACGAUAAGAACGAUAAGAACGAUAAGAACGAUAAAAUAAAACAAACUUGAAAUUAAACUUAAUUGAAGUGCGAUAACAAUGAAAGGUAAAGUAAUCGAAAUAAACUUGAAUUUAAAUGACAAGAAAUAUAAAUCGAACAAGAAUUUAAAUGACAAGAAAAAUAUAAACUUACACUAGAAAAAGGAAGAACUCACUACACUAGGUGCUUGAAAAGUAAAAUCCUAAGUCUAGGAAAAGAAAAGUGCAAGACGAAAAGUAGGUUUGUUUGUCUGAUGUUGUGUCUUCUGCCUUCGUUUGGUAAGGUUUAUAUAGGGCUUCCGUCAGCCCAUGGGCUGGCCAUUGAAUGGCCAAAUGUCAACUCUUUUAAAACUCUUUUCUUUUGAAGCCCCUUGAAUUUGUGGGAUUGGAAAUAUUCUGAUUGCUUAAUUCUCUCAUGUUUUGGAAUGUGCUGAACUAUCAUCAAUCUCCUUGAUUUGUUUCCUUGUGAGGCCUCCAUCACAUGCAUAUUAACCUCUGAAAAUCUUGGGCGUGAAUCCGUGGUUUGGGCCUUGACCUCCGAGAUUUCAUCUUGACAUCUGGUGGAACCUCGUGCCCCUUGAGGUUUUAGAAUUCUAGAGUUGGCUGACCAUCUGCCGACUAUCCGCCAAGGUGGGUGGUAUGGGAGCUCCAAAUAUUUGGAUGUUGGGCUUGGCCCUAUGUUGGACUAUAUUCAAAUAUUCACCCCAGCUUUUUGUAAGAGGAGUGGCCGACCAAGGUAUUCAAGGAGUACCCGGCCUAACUUUUUGAGAAGGAAGCAUUUGGCCACUUUUGUAAGGAUAUGCCCGGCUACUUUUGCAAGGAUAUGCCUGACCACUUUUGCAAAGGAAAGUGCCCGAUCAUAUUUUUGAGAAGGCACCACGGCCUUCGAAGAAAACACAUCAGCUGAAUCCAAGACCGCGUGGAGCACACCAAAAACUAAGCUCAAUCCAACUAACACCCCAUUGGUACAUUAUUUUUGUUUGUUUGUUCUGUUUUUCUCUUUGUUAAGUUGGACUGAAAUCCAAAGAGGACUCCUUAUAGCUGGUUUUCUUGUUAAUAGGAGUAUUAAUUGGAAUAAAAUUGGGGCAAUUUGAUCUCAAAUUAGAAGAACCCAUUUCUAGUUUCCAAAGUCCUUUGAUAUAUUAAACUAAAAGAGGGUCAUCUUUUAUUUCUGCACAUGACCUUCUAAAUUUCAUAAACAACCAUGCCCUAAUGCAACAUGAUUAUUAAACGGGUUGUGUUAGUGUCGAAUCAAUAGACGCAAUUAAUUAAUGUAUACAGUUAAGACUGACUACUGAUUAAUCAAUACAAACACAAAGUGACACAACACGAACACACCCUACAAACAUGUAUUGCCAGUCGUACCCGUAAUUACAUAUGAAGUUCAUUAUGUAAUUUAGUUCAUAAUUCAAACCACUCUGUUUUUCCAAACACCAUCGCUACAAUCUUUUAUUUGGUAAGAUAAUAUAUAUUGACCAAGUGGGACAGGAGAACAAAGCCAACACGGAACUAUACAUGUCAAGUAAGAAGGGGUAAUCAAAUCAAAGGUCCAAAGGCUUGGAACGAGUGUACGGCAACUAGGGUUUUUGUUGACGUACAUGAGAUGAGUGACAAAGCAUCAAGGGUUCGGGGAAACAGUUAAUUCUCACAAAUUAAAAAUAAAAUAAAAUAACUAGCUAGAAGCUGCCUAGAAAUAAAAUUAUGUCAAUGUAAAAAAAAUGGUCUGUGUAAUUUUUCAGUGGAAUAUUUACCUCAUUCAAACAGUCAAAGAAACCCUUUUAAUGGUUUGUAUAACUUGCACUAAAGUAAUAUAUUAAUUUCUUCAUUUUCUCAGAAAAAAAACAUACAGUUUAAAGUACUUUGAAUUUGUCUUGAAAUUCGAAGGGGAUAGAACUCCCCAAGGCAUGUGCUGAUUUAAAUUUUCCACAGGGAUUUUAAUAUUUUGGUCCUCGACAAUUUGGUGGAAAAAAAAACUGGAAGCAUUUUAAAUUUUUCCAGAACAGGACCCAGUGCAUGUUAUAUUGAGGUGUGGAGGAGGAAACAUUUUCACAUAGAGAGAGAGAGACCUUCACCGUGUUUGAAGGGUUUUUCCCUUUGUAUUUGCUUACCGCUGGUCAAAAUUUUUGUUCUUUUCAGCAUACUUGAUAAAUUAUUUCAAAAUCAACUUCAACAGUAAGAAAUUCCAUCUUAAAAAAACAAAAUUUCUACAAGAAAAUUUGGGAGGAAAAAAAAAACAUGUGGACUUGAGGCUCUAUUUAAGGCCGUGCAAAUCCGAGUACAAAAGGUACAAUUCUCAUUAUAACAACAUAGAGAAAGAAGAACAAGGAAGAGACGAACACAAAAACUCAGGCUCAGAGAAAAACCAUGCAUCGUUCAGCGGCAAUUAACUUCCACCGCAACCUUUUCCUCCUCCAAAGCCAAACCCAAUUGGCCAAACGGGUUACCAAACCCUGUGAUGUGUUCCUUAAUCAUCGAGGUAUAGACACAAAAAGAACAAUAGUCUCUUUGCUUUACGACCAUCUUUCUCUCCUCAACUUGCGCCCUUUCUUAGAUAACAGGACCAUGAAACCUGGAGACAAACUGUUCGAUAAAAUUGAUAGUGCGAUAAAGGGAUGUAAGGUUGGCGUUGCUGUGUUUUCACCGCGAUAUUGCGACUCUUACUUUUGCCUUCAUGAAUUGGCCCUCUUCAUGGAGUCUAAGAAGAAGGUUAUUCCAAUCUUCUGUGAUAUUAAGCCCUCUCAGCUUCGUGUCGUUGAGAACGGGCAAUGUCCACCGGAGAAGCUUCCAAAGUUUAGGUUGGCUCUUGAACAGGCCAAGAACACUGUUGGGCUGACUUACGACUCCUCAAAAGGGUAAGUUCCAUGAACACACAGAGCAUAUUCCUUCUUUAUUUUUAGGGUUCAACUUGCAGCAGUGCUAAUAAGAAAAUGCUAAGGAGAUCGCAUUUAUAGAUCACAUUGUGUACGACUUUUCUAAUAAAAGUGGAGUCCACUUAUAUAAUGGGUCACACAUCAAACCUCUGUUAGAAAGAUAGUACACAAGGUGGUCUAUAACUAUAUGGUCUUCCCAACAUUACCCGUGCUAAUAAUAUUUCAUCAAAUAACUGUCUUUUGAGUAUUUGGUUUUUAAGGUUGUAAUUAUUAAUAUUCAAAGACAUGAUAUGACUACUACAUUUUCAUAGAAUUUCCUACUGAAUUUCCUGAAUUAAUUCCGAUCGGUUUUUCUUUUGGGUUUUGUAGGAAUUUGGCAGAUGUUGUAACAAGGGCUGCAAAUAUUGUAAUCAACAGCCUGAUAGAGAUUGAGAACGAAAAGCAUUCUAUGCGUCGUCCGAAAACUCCAUUUCAUUUCUAAUUUCUGGCUCUAGCAAACUGAUCCUUGAUUACUUUCGUUAAUUCGUUCUGCAUUACUCCUCUUGUUUGGUAAAUAAAAGUUCAAUAUACACAUCCAUUUCUUUAAUUACUUCCCAUUUGUUCAUUUGUAACUUUCUUUGUAGAGCACCGUGUAAAGCUCACCUGAUAACAUGUAUACUUUAAAUUAUUUUUAGUUGUAUGUAUUACAAAAUGUUUAAUAAAGAUGUGUGACACAAUCUUUAAUUUGUUCAUUAAUUUAAUUCAUUCUGCUUUGGUAAUCAACCUAUAUUUUUUUUGAGAAAAGAUGGUUUUUCAUUCAACCGAAAUGAACAUUACGUGGUAAGAACUAGCAUGUUAACGACGGCCUCGUUAAAACCUUCUCAGAGAAAUAUAAUUCUAAUGCUUUUCAAGGUUCCCUUUUCUAAUAAUUUGUUAUAGUCCAAAAAUCAUUUCAUUUUUUCAUUCGUCAGCUUCUUUUUUUUUCUUUUUUCUUUUUUUGGGUUGAGAAAUUUUGGGAUUGUAUUACAAUAAUGGAGCAAUCUAACAGCAAAAUUAAGACAAUCUAACAAUUCAAAAUAAUAAAAAAGUUUGGUACUAAGCAAGGGCGGAACCAUGAAUUUGUUAACCAGUAGACUAGCUACAGUUAUUAGCUUAAAAUUUAAUAAUCAUUUAUAUUUUGCUUAUAGUUUCUAUAGUCUUUCUAGAAAUAAAAGUAUGCUUUAAAUCUUAUAAACCACUCGAAUUUUCAGUAAACUUUAAUAUAAAACAAAUACAUAUUAAAGAUGCAAUCGCAAAACACAUAUUAUCAAAAUAAAAAUAUAUUUAACAAUAGAAUUCCAAGUGUACUUAUUUUAAUGUGUAUUUUUAUUGUUGUCAUGCAAUCAAGUUCAUAAAAAUUUGGAUUUUUUUUAAUGGAUACUGAUGUGGAGGUAUUGAGUAGAUGCCAAAAAUGAUAAACUUCGUUUUUUUUUUCUUUUCCAUUGUCCAAAUCCAAAAUUUCCUCUUGGGUUUUCUAAAAAAUUAAUAUUAAGGAGAAACUUAAAUGGGAUAAAUGUGGCACAAUAUGAACCAUUAAAAUCCGAAGAUUGGGAGUUGGUAUGGCCAAAUAUAAUCAUAGCUUGGUACUUUGAAGAAACUGACCAAUUGAAACGUGAAUAAAUUAGCACUUUGAAUUAAUUUUUGUGAAGUUGUGAUGCAAUGUCCUAACUUGAUUAGUUGGUCUUUGUUGAUGCGAAAAAGUGGUUCGACACAUAUUUCACCAACUUAGUUAUAUUAUGCCUUCGACAGGUGACUAUCUUCGGAAGACGUCUUGCUUCGGAAGGGUGAGUACCUGCAAAAAGGACGCGUUCGGUAAGUCCUUGGGGUACCGGUGUGGUACCGACCGAAAGCUCUCCGAUGCUUUAGUAAGUACGGUUUUAGUAAUGUUAACUGACAGAUCAAUCAGUAGCGUACCGUUCGUUCUGAUCCCUUCCUUUUGGGGAUAGGGGUCUUCUUAUAUAUGCCUUGGGAGGUGUGCACUGUGCUCAUAUUUCCGAUGUGGGACUGUGGACGCGGAUUGUGAGCAUGACACGUGUCCGGUAGUAAAAGGGUCAAGAAAAACGGCUUCGGUAGGCAGCAUGCCGAAGGGUUUCUGCGAUCAAUAUCGAUCCUGUCCACGUGUUCGGUGGUCAUAGGCCGUUUGUUUCCGGUAUAAACAGUCUUCAAUCUAAAAACCAAUUUCACAAUCAGUCUUAUUAGUUCCGCCCCGGGUACUAAGGCAGGUUAUUGAAACCUUUUUAAGAAGAAAAAAAAACUACAAAGGAAUAGCUAUGGUCCUUGCCAUACUUAACGCAUCAAAUAAAUGCGAACAUAGCCAGUGAAGUAUAACUCAGUUAGUUAAGCUCUUUCAUCUCCAUCUAUGCAGGCAGAGAUUUAAAACUCCCAGACGCUCAAUGAAUAUUUGUGUAAACCCCUUCUUCCAAUUGCUUGUACUAAAAAAGUAAAAAUAAACGCGAACCUAAUUCCUACUAAUUAAAUCUUUGGAAUUAAUCAGAACCCUAAAAAUAGGGCGAGUAGCGUCAAUAGAGUUGGGAUCCAAGCAAACAGCAGCCAUGGAGUCAUUCUCAAUUAAAAUAUGUAGUAUGUAGUUAUACACAUAACAAAUACUUGUUAAUUAUGAAUAAGAGUUGAGCGUAGUAGUUGACUAAUAAGUGAUGAGAAUCCUCACAAGAGAUUAGGGUUGCUUGCUUAUGCUUUCAAUCUCUGUUGUUGACUAUGCAUGGGUCUUUGAUGGAAUUGUCAGCUGCAAAAGAGAGGAAGGGUAGGGGUAGGGGAGAGGUGGGUCCGUUUUCCCUUUUAAUUUUAAUUUUUCUAUUUUUUUGUUUUGUUUUUAAUUGAAAGGACAAAAUUGAAAACUUGAGACGUGAUGGGCUGUGGAUUAAAUUGUAGAAACUAAUUUUCGUAAUUACAAAGAAAAAAGAACUUUGUGAGCGCUGAAGUUGAAGUUGAAGCUAUUAAGUUAAGUAGUACUCUGAGACCACUUUGUUGUGUAAAUUUGGCGUCUAAAGCUUGAAAAAUUCAAUAAAGUGUGGGCAUGUCCGUAGUUGGUCUUGAGUCGCUAGCGGUUAGGGUGCUUUUGGGUGAAGAACUUUGGAGAUAUGAUUUUGGGGUGAUAUGGGACUUAGAAAUCCCAUAUAGUCAAAGUUUCUUAUUUGACAAGUUUAAAAAUGAGGUUUACCAAAUUAUAAAGGCUUUCACAUGUGCUUCUGAGAAGCCAAAAAUCCAAUUCUAACUUCAAACCAAAAUUAGGUGUUAUUUCAAAAUAUACUAUUACUAAGAUUUGUCAAAAGAAAUACCGUAAGGUAUGAUUCACACUCAUGAGUCAUGGGCCUUGAAGCACAUAUUCUGACAUUGUGAUUCAAGGAAUAUUUGUGUAAACCGCUUCUCACAAAGGCAUCAAAGAAUAUUUGGAUGAUAUUGCACCUUUUGACCUUUAACUUGGAUGCCUUUCUCAAUGUUUUCUAUCUGUGAUUUCAUUAGAUCCAUUCAUCUUGCAAUAAAGAUUAUUAUAAUUAAUACCAGUUUAACUCCAAAAACACCCAUUAAAAAGUCAGACCGCAUUUCAAAGAAAAAACCAAACAAAGAAGAAGACAAGACAUGACACCACUACCACAUAUAUCGCUUGCUUGAAGUGAAAGCAUGUCAUAUGUAAGUAUAUAUAUAUAUAUAUAUAUAUAUAUAUAUAUAUAUAUAUAUAUAUAUGAUAAUAUGAUGUGAGUAAAAUAUGGUACCACCACACCACAUGUUGUUGAACGUGUGUAAGACACUAAUGGAUAGCCUGUGGAAUCUGCACGCGUAAAUGUAUCUUUCUUUUGCCCAAACAAUUCUCCCCACUUGUCACAAAACGACAUGGCGUCUCUAGAGUAGGUAUGCUCCUCCUUUUCAAAUGGAAGCCAGCUGAGUUACAUACAUAUAUGCCGCCCGCCCUAUCUGUGUUUCCUGGUCGUGGCCUACAUAGUGCUCGAUACACUUGACACUCUCCACUUUCAUUUUGACAUUUGACUUCCAUGUCUAGCUAGCCCACAUAUUUAUAUUAAUUAAUCCACUAUCCAUGCAAAACUUCAACACUUUAUUAUAUCAUAUUUAAUUUGUUAGUGACAAUGUGAUUAUCAAUUAACAGUGCCAUUUGUUGUUGUCUGAUCUUUGUCAUCUUUUAAUUUUUGAUUUCAUGCAUGCAUGAUUUGGCUUUAAUUAAUAUUUUUUUAGUCCUGUUAUUUGUACUAUAUUUACUAAUUACGGUGAAUUUCUCAUUCAUUAGUUCUGUGGUGCAUUUAUGUGUCGAUCUACAUGUAAUUAGUAUGGAUUUUGACUUCAAUUAUUGCAUUAUCUAGACAAAUGAGAUUGAUUAGGUGGAUAAUUGAUCAGCAUAAACCACUGUCGUCUUCAACUUUUUCUCUUCCUUUGGUUUUGGGGCGGCAAACUUUGUUUAAUCAUUACUUUGCAUCUAUAUAAAUGCACAUUGCCUUCUCUUCACUCUUCAGUUCUACCAGUUACGCCUUCUUCUAUCAACUAAGCUAAUUUGUUUUGACCACACACACACAGAAACAUGGGAAUUCCUAAGCUUCUUGGUGUGUUUCUAGUAAUGGAAAUGAUGAGUGGCUUCAGAUUUGGAGCACAUGGUUUGAGUAUGGGAUAUUACGUUAUGAGCUGCCCGAUGGCUGAAUUGAUCGUCAGAAAUUCAGUCAUCAGAGCCUUGCAAGCUGAUCCAACCUUAGCAGCAGGCCUAAUCAGAAUGCAUUUCCAUGACUGCUUCAUAGAGGUCUCUCUCUCUCUCUCUCUCUCUCUCUCCACACACAACACAAAGCAUAUUGUUUAAAUUUGUUUAAAUUUUUUAGGUUUUGUUAGAAGUACACGAAAUUUUUAUUAAGAAAAGCAAAAGGUUUUCUAGCAUAUUUAUUUGAAAGUGCUUUAUGAAAAAACAGAAGAGUGCUUCUUUACGAACCACUAAAUGUAAUAUCAUAACACUAUUAGAGUAACAUUUAGUUUACUAUUUUUAACUUUAUGCUUUUUCUAUUGGGUGCUAUGUGUGCUACAUCUACACUCUUCCUUUGUUAUUCAUAUAUUACUUUUCAAUCAGCACAUUAAUUACACGCAACACACACCCAAAUAGUAUAAUGUUUUGUUUUCUUGUGUAAAGUGUUCUUUUUCAAAUGCCAAGUUCAUGUUAAAUUAUUUUUUUAAGGGAUUUAAUAACUCCACAUUGUAAUUUCUAAAUUACCAAAAAAAAUAAAACCUUGUGUUUCCUUGUUGAAUAUUUAGGGAUGUGAUGCUUCAAUUCUCCUAGAUUCAACAAAAGACAACACAGCAGAGAAGGACUCCCCUGCAAAUUUGAGCCUGAGAGGCUAUGAAGUUAUUGACGCUGCAAAAGAGGAGCUUGAAAAAGAAUGCCCUGGCGUUGUCUCAUGCGCUGACAUAGUUGCAAUGGCUUCUACAUAUGCAGUUUUUGAGGUAAUUAAGGACAUAUAAACUCAUUCAUAAAUUAAAUUUUGUUCUUUUUUAUGUGUGUGAAAUUAAUCAUUAGACUUUACUGUUUGCUGUGGGAUUUGAUUAACAACAGGCUGGAGGUCCAGUAUAUGACAUACCCAAAGGAAGAAAGGACGGAAGUAGGUCUAAAAUACAAGACACAAUCAACCUGCCUCCACCCACCUUGAAUGCCUCUCAACUCAUUAAAAUGUUCGGGCAACAUGGUUUUACUGCUCAAGAAAUGGUGGCUCUAUCUGGUAAACAUAUACAUACUCCCUCUUAAAAUUUACAAACGACCAUGUUAUGUAGCCGAUUGAGUGGCAGAUAUUGUCCGGUCAAAUCAUGUAACAUAUGUUAUAUUUUAACUAGACGAUACCUGCCACUCAUUAUGGCAGAAUUUCCACAUAAGUUUUUCUCUUAAUUUAAGGGUUCAUAUAUAUUGGUUUUGUACUUCGUAGGUGCACAUACACUAGGUGUAGCCAGGUGCUCUUCAUUCAAAAACCGAUUGGUUGAUGCUGUGGAUCCAAACUUAGAUUCAGGGUUUGCAAAGCAACUGACCAAAACCUGCAGUGCCGGGGACAAUACCGAGCAGCCCUUCGACGGGACGAGAAACCAUUUCGAUAACCUUUACUUCAAUGCACUGCAGCAUAACACCGGACUGCUGGCUUCUGAUCAAACUCUCUUUUCAUCUGCAAGAACCAGAAACAUUGUAAAUGGUUAUGCCUUCAACCAAGCCAUGUUCUUCUUUGAUUUUCAACAGGCAAUGGUGAAAAUGAGCAUGCUGGAUGUUAAGGAAGGUUUCAAAGGAGAAGUGCGACAAAACUGCCGCAAAAUCAAUUAAGGGAGGAGUUUUGUGUAAAGAGACUUGAAGAAUUCGUUUGCUCUUCAUUGUGUAUUGAUGGCUAAAAACAUCCGUCAUUGUUUAAUAGUUAAAUAGUAUAUUACAUAAUAAAGGUCCUUUGAGCUUAUGUUUUAUUUGUAUUAUUUCUCCUUGUUUACAGCGGUGUAUGAAUGGGAGAAAAUGUGCUUUGUAGAAAUAUAUAGUUUUUUUUUUUUUUUUCCGGCCAUGAUAUGUAGAAAUCUUUAUUUUAUUUUAUUUUAUUUUUGGGUCUGAAGCCAUGAUGUAGAAAUCUAUUGUUAAAUAAAUUAGAGCUGAAGCCCAAAAGCCUAACAACAAAUUUGAGCUGGGCCAUACCAGCUCGGGCCCAGUCAUCACGUAACUGACCCAAAUAAAAGAAUAAAAGUUUUUCACUGAAAUUGUACUCAGUUGGGCUAAGAGGAAGCCGAUUGGACUUCAAAAUCAAUUUGGACACUUUCAGAGUUAAAUUAAUUUUUAAAAGAAAGUUAAAAGCCGAUGGCACUAUUGAUAAAUACAAGGCAUGCUUAGUUGCUAAAGGGUGUCAACAAAAAGGAAGGGUUGGAUUAUUUCGACACUUAUUCUCCAGCAUCAAGAAUUACAUUUAUAAAGAUGUUAAUUGCUAUAGCUGCCAUACACAAUAUGGACAUACAUCAAAUGGAUGUAGAAAUAGCUUUCUUAAAUGAAGAAUUAGAUGAAGAAAUAUACAUGGAAUAACCAGAAGAUUUUGUGGUAAAAGGUCAAGAAACUAAAGUCUGUAAACUUGUUAAGUCUUUAUAUGGACUUAAACAAACUCCAAAACAAUGGCAUCAAAAAUUUGAUCAUACAAUGAUGUCAAACGGAUUUAAGAUCAAUGAAUCUGACAAGUGUGUUUACAUAAAGAACAACAAGAAUUCUUGUGUUCUUGUAUGUUUAUAUGUUGAUGACAUGCUUAUAAUGGGAACAAAUAAGGAUGUAGUAAAAUCUAUAAAAGAAGAUGUUGAAUUCAAGUUUUGACAUGAAAGUCUUAGGUCAAGUUGAUGUCAUUCUGGGAAUUCAAAUCAAAAGAAAUAGAGAUGGGUAAUUCUUACUCAAUCCCAUUAUGCAAAUUUUUUUUAAAGAAAGUUUGGUCAAUUUGACUGCAAACAUGCUGUGACUCAUUUUGAUGUAAAUUGCAAGUUAAAGAAGAAUAAUGGAAAUGAAAUUUCCCAAUUUGAGUAUUCCCAAGUAAUUGGGAGCCUAAGUAUUUUAAUGAAUUCUAUUAGGCCAGACUUAGCUUAUUCAGUAAGCAGGCUUAGUAGAUACACAAGCAAUCCUAGACAUGAUCAUUAGGAGGCAUUAAUUAAAGUGUUAAGAUAUUUGAAAUGCACCCAAGAUUAUGGAUUACAUUAUACAAAAUAUCCACCAGUUCUAGAAGGCUAUAGUAAUGCAAAUUGGAUUUUUGAUAGUGCCGUAGCAUGAUAUUAUUCGCUUUGGACUCCAUGCCCUCACGUUUUGUUUAUGGGAACUCACGAACAACUUCCUAAUGGGUCACCCAUCCUGGGAUUGCUUUAGCCCAAACUCACUUAACUUCGAAGUUCCUAUGACUUCAAAGCGAGUGAGCUCCCAAAAGGCCUCGUGCUAGAUGGAGGUGGGUAUGUGCAUAUAAGGCACAUCACCCCCUCUCCGUUGGUCGAUGUGGGAUGUUACAAUCCACCCCCCUUAGGGGCCUGAUGUUCUCGUCGGCACACUAACAUCACACAGCAGAGUGGCUCUGAUGCCAUUCAGUCAUAUUCCGGAUCGGCUUCGCCAUAGCACGAUAUUGUCCGUUUUGGGCCCCCUGCCCUCACAGUUUUGUUUCUGGAAACUCACGAGCAUCUUCCUAAUGGGUCACCUAUCUUGGGAUUGCUCUAGCCCAAACUCGCUUAACUUCAAAGUUCUCAUGACUCCGAAGCCAAUGAGCUCCCAAAAGGCCUCGUACUAGAUAGAGGUGGGCAUGUAUAUAUAAGGCACAUCACUCCUUUUCUGUUGGUCAAUUUGAGAUGUUACAAUUUUAGAUUGGAGCUCUUUUUCGUUGAGAUUGAAGUAGGUUUUUGCACUUAAAAAGAUAGGUUUGUUACUUAAAGGGCAGAACAAUAGGAAGUUUAGAUGUGGAAGCCUUUUUUGAUGAGCUCACUUAAAUAUUUUAGAGUUGGAGCUCUUUUUUGAUGAGAUUGUGUUCACCCGUUUUUGUGUUUGCUCCUGAGGUGGAAGGGCGAAGUUCCCCACUGGCUUGGAGACCACUAGUUGGUCGACAAGUCAGCUUUCUUUGGUGUGUGAGCGUGCCACUGCUAGCAAUGUAAAUUCUAGCAGACUUAUUUUUAAAGUGGAUAACUUGCGCCUCAAGUUACUGACUUCUAAAACAACUGAUUGUAAAUUUGGGUGAGGAAUAUCUCCCAAGUAAGUUCUUUUCUUGCCUCAGACUGGUGAGGACUUUCAUAAUUUAUCUCAGUAUCAAAUGGUCGUUCUGGCUAGAAUAGAUAAUAAUAAAGUAGAUUGUUUUAGGCGGAACUGCCUUUUACGAAAUUAAGAAGGGAGAAAUUAACUCUAGAAAGAUAAAGAGAUGGCUGGAAUCCCAUUUCUGCCUGGAUGGAAACUUCUGAUCCGGGCUGGACUGAGUAUGUCCGUGCUGGACUGUGCUGUCAACAACUUCAACUGCUUGGCCUUCAGCUGUAAAUCGAUACCAAAGUUCAAUUUUGGCAGAGCUUUAAUCUACUUCAAGUCUUGGGAGGCUUUUGAGCGGGCAGAACUGCAGCUUCUUCAGUUUGAAGGGACAGAAGUGGCUGUUCUCGAGAAUUUAGCAAGCUGGGACUGUACUGCAAAAUUUGUUGAGGUUUUCAUAUUUGCGAAAACUCAAACUAUGUUUGUCUUGGCUUUUGGUGAACCAAAUUUGUAACGAGAGGGAUCUCGUUUUCAGAAGACUUAUUUUCUAAGUCUGAACUUUGGAAUUCUGAUCUAAAACUGUUUUUCUCUUGGGAUCCAAGUGAGCUUUUGAUUGUUUUCUUGUUUGUUUUUUUUGAUUGAUUGAUGAAUUGAGUGUCCUUUUUUUCUUUGCCUACUUUCGUUUUUUAUAAGAGAUCCUCCUAAGGAGGUAAUUUUUAAUCCUAAAUAAUGGGCGGCAAAAAGUUCUCUUAUAAUGUAAAGUAAGAAGGGUUUCUUAUCAAUCAAGGCAGCUAGGUUCUGAGCAGUCACCUCCUAAAGCAGUCCCCUCCCUGGUUUCCUGGGUAGCAGCUUUCUAAUUCAACCAACGCUACCGUCUGUGUGGGCUUUUUUUUUUAUUUUUUUAUUUUUAUGGGGGUUUGGCUCUUUUUCUUUUGUAUUUUCUGAAUGGUUCCCUGUUUCCCGCUCUAAUUUAGAAAGCGUGAUCCGUGAAUUCCUUGGGAGAUGGUGUAUUGAUUUGGAGCAAAAUCUCGAACACAGAUGGGUUUUUUGAUCUUCAAUUGGCAGUGUUUCAGAGACGUCCCUCUCACAUUUUAAACUUUAGUUGGAAUUGCUGACUUUUUCAAAGUUGAGGCAAUCCCGUGGUUGUGUCUUUGAUCCCUUGGGUUUGAACCUAACAAAAAUUACGGGCUGAUCUUUGAAGCCCAUUUCGAAAGUUUCCACAUUUGGGCUUUCUUUGGGCAGAGGCUUCGUUUUCAACAUUUCUGGUGUGAAGCCCAAUCUGUCUGGAUCCUAUUUUUGUUUUUCUCAAGUCUUUGGGCUGGGCAGGCAAUUUUAUCAUGGGUCUGUCUUUCGGACUUGGGCGUGCCGAAUUUGGGCCCAAACAGAUUGAUGUAGGUUUUUGGCAAACGAUAGAUUAGUCAAUUCCUCAACAAACCUAUCUUUUGCCAAAAACUUUUUGCACUUAAAAAGAUAAGUUUGUACUUAAAAUGGUUGUUUUGUUCUAUUGAUAAUAUGUUUUUGAAACUUUGGAUAGCUGUAAAUGGUGAAUGACGUAUAUGGUUUAGUUUUAAACUUUGGAUGGACGUUAAUGAUGAAUGAUGCAUAUGGUUUAGUUUGAAACUUUGGAUGGAUGUGAAUGAUGAAUGAUGCAUAUGUUUUAGUUUGAAAGGAUGAUUGAAUGAAUGAUUUUGAAUAUGUUGUGAUGUGAAUGGUGAAUGAAUUUCAAGCAGGUUUUGAAUGAAUGUUUGAGUUUGAAUGAAUUUAGAUUCUACAUGUUUUCACCAAACCAAACCAAGGAAAUCCGAGAUGACCGGUUUCGGUUUCCUACCUCAUGGUUUGGCGCAUGGUUUGAAUUUUCUUCAAACCGUGAGGUACAAUUCAGCGUACUGUUUGGGCUCAAAACUGAAUCAAACCAAACCAAAUCAAGCCCAACUCUAGUUAUAUCUAUCAAAUGUACUAAUAAAUACUAGUCUUAUCACCCUUUUAUACUACAUGAUGUGGCAGCUAAUGUGUACAUACCACAUCACGUAAAAUAUUGCUAGCUUUUGUUUUUCUAAUUUUAUUUAUUAAAAUACACUUCAUUCAUUUAAUUGAUGUGACAUAUGAUAUGAACAUGCCACAUCAUAUAGUAUAGAAAUAUGAGAUAAAAAUGUGGUAAAUGUAGUAUUACUCUUUUGUUAUUUACAACUAUAAUGUAGAUAUUAAGAUGGAAAAUGCUAGGCUUACUAUAUUUUUAUAUCACAUUGAGUACAAAAAUCUAAUAAAGGUGAGCCCCAUUGUAUUGAUAGGGGCUCUACUUUUAUUUAAGAUGUAGUACACAAUAUGAUAUAAAAAUAUGAUAAGCCUAUUAAGAUUAGACAUCACAUAUAAAUCCGCCACUCUCCAAUAAAUCUUUUUGAUGUGACAUCUUGCAAUGUGAUGUUACAAAUCGAUUAAUAUUAUACAAUCUAUUCAUUACCAUAGCGCCUUGAAAUAUUAAUAACUGUUGUCCAAUUUAUUUUCACUAACCUAUGUUACUAAUACACGUGGCAAAGUUCCAAUACCAUAAAAUAAUUUUUAGAAAUGGCAACAAAACGAAUUGAGGUCCAUUUUCCUUCGUAACCGGUAAGUUUCAAUCUUGAUUUAUAAUUAGAAAUGAAAGUAAGACUUAGUAAAAAUAUAAAAAUAUUAAAAAAAACCUACGCGCCAAUUCCUAUGGGUUGUGUAUUUUCCUUAUGUUCUUGUCUUAUCUUGAUUUUCAAAUUUAAUAAGAUUUCUUAGCUGUUUCCAAUUAAGUAUAACCAAGAUAACCUAUUUACCCAAGGAUUAGUCAGACUCAGAUAUGUGGCUGCCCACUAAAAAUAUUAGAGAAUUUUUAGAUCUCAGAUGAAUGAUUUAGAGUAUAAAUUAAAGAUAAUGAAGACAAGGAAGAGAAUCCAAAUUAUUUUUUCAAAUAAAGAAGCCCAAAAACGAAGCUGCAAUUAAAUAAUCAACAAGACAGAAAGAGCUCAUAAUAUAUGGCCACUUCCCCAUCCGAUCCGAACAAUACAAUUGAAAAAAUGGAGAAGAGAAUGGGGGUUGUUCAAGCACCUAAAGACUUCAUAUGGGCAUGUCUUUAUUUCUUCAGUUGAUGAGCUAGCUGCUGAAGUGACCUCCCUACAUAUUCAUCUUCCGGUGCACACCAAGUGUUUGCUAUAUUGCUCGACUGAGAGGACGACGAGAAGAAGACCUGCUUCUGCUUCUGCUUCUCCUAAUGAGCUCGCGGAUCUGAGACACCAUCACUUCCACCAUAUCUCCUGUAUAAUUCAUCAGCAAUGGCCGCAAGAACAUAGCCCAAAGCCCCACCAAUGCCACCAUUACUUCUGCUCCCAAACCCAACAUUGAUAAAUUAAUACAAUAUUUUUCCCUUCUCCUGCAUAUAACUUGGCUUUCAAUAUAUGGUGUGUUGCUGUUGCUCUCUCUCUCUCUCUCUCUCUCUCUCUCUCUUGAAGCUUGGAAGUUGGCGGGCAGUUAUAAUGUUAUCCAGUAUGUGGAAUUUCUAAUAAAUGUAAUGUUUGGUUCCAAAGGUACAAGCCAGCCGACCAAAUUGAGGACUAGGUACCAAGACUAAACUUCAUCCACCAUUCUUUAAAAACAAACAGUCUUCACAGGCCGGGUAGGUAGCUGAGGUCUACAUUGGGAAACUAUUAACCACCAACUCUAUAUCUACCAUUCUUUAACCCUCUGUUUUUUUUUUUGGGGUCAAAAGUGAGAUGACGAAAAUAUUCAAUUUGAAAUCAUGUAAUUUGGGCGAAGUUACGAUUUGGUUCUUAU